AUUUGAAUGACAUGACUUAAGAAUUCCAUUGAAACACUCUUAAGCUUCAUAUAACGACUCUCCCUCUUUUUGUGAAAAGCUAGUUAUUUUUCGUCUCAAUU
Molecule: small nucleolar RNA, 101 nt
Filed under: Medicago truncatula (barrel medic)
Lineage: Eukaryota; Viridiplantae; Streptophyta; Magnoliopsida; Fabales; Fabaceae
Description: snoRNA gene3772
Rfam family: Plant small nucleolar RNA R71
About the family: R71 is a member of the C/D box family of snoRNAs containing the C (UGAUGA) and D (CUGA) box motifs. Multiple nearly identical copies of this snoRNA have been identified in Arabidopsis, and it is thought to function as a 2'-O-ribose methylation guide for 18S ribosomal RNA.
Source: Rfam by way of RNAcentral